AGAGUUUGAUCCUGGCUCAGAACGAACGCUGGCGGCGUGCUUAACACAUGCAAGUCGAGUGCGCGCCUGUAGCAAUACAGGUGGCGCACGGCGCACGGGUGCGUAACACGUGGGUAAUCUGCCCUCUGAUGGGGAAUAACUCGCCGAAAGGCGAGCUAAUUCCGCAUAAUAUUCCGAGAACUUUGGUUUUUGGACUGAAAGGCGUAAGUCGUCGGAGGAGGAGCCCGCGCACGAUUAGCUAGUUGGUAGGGUAAUGGCCUACCAAGGCUUUGAUCGUUAGCUGGUCUGAGAGGAUGGCCAGCCACACUGGAACUGAGACACGGUCCAGACUCCUACGGGAGGCAGCAGUGGGGAAUCUUGCACAAUGGGCGAAAGCCUGAUGCAGCGACGCCGCGUGGGGGAUGAAGCUUCUCGGAGUGUAAACCCCUUUCGAUCCGGACGAAUACCUCGCAAGAGGGGUGACGGUACGGAUAUAAGAAGCCCCGGCUAACUACGUGCCAGCAGCCGCGGUAAUACGUAGGGGGCCAGCGUUGUUCGGAAUUACUGGGUGUAAAGGGUUCGUAGGCGGUGCGGCAAGUUGGGAGUGAAAUCUCUGGGCUUAACCCAGAGACGGCUUCCAAAACUGCUGUGCUUGAGUGUGGGAGAGGCUCGUGGAAUUGCAGGUGUAGCGGUGAAAUGCGUAGAUAUCUGCAGGAACACCCGUGGCGAAAGCGGCGAGCUGGACCACUACUGACGCUGAAGAACGAAAGCUAGGGGAGCAAACAGGAUUAGAUACCCUAGUAGUCC
RNAcentral lists this ribosomal RNA (786 nucleotides) under uncultured bacterium. Its description in RNAcentral is "bacterial SSU rRNA". It matches the Rfam family "Bacterial small subunit ribosomal RNA", at positions 8 to 796 of the family's 1533-position model. The record is from RNAcentral.